GGGCCAGUAAAGGUUUCGACGGGGAAUAUGAAGCUGGAGAAGCGAGCCGCACGGGAUGCGUCAAAUUCCACAAUUAAAUUUAAACGCUGAAGAUAAUUUAGCAUACGCUGCCUAAUGGCAGCAGUCUGACCUAGAGCACUCACACUUUAGGACCCAGGCUUCGACGAUGUGAGAAACGACACAGGCAAAGCUUUGAGCCUGCGGGCGUACCAUGAAGCUACCAAAACCGUAAGGGUGUCUGUUCCCGGACGGCAGAGGGAAUGUCAAAGGACAGACUAAGCUCGUAGAAGGACAGGGGAUUAUUCUUCGGACACGGGUUCGAUUCCCGUCUGGUCCACUU
Molecule: non-coding RNA, 340 nt
Organism: Roseburia hominis A2-183
Lineage: Bacteria; Bacillati; Bacillota; Clostridia; Lachnospirales; Lachnospiraceae
Rfam family: transfer-messenger RNA
About the family: Bacterial tmRNA, also known as 10Sa RNA or SsrA, is named for its dual tRNA and mRNA-like properties. Its role is to liberate the mRNA from a stalled ribosome.
Source: Rfam